Molecule: ribosomal RNA, 468 nt
Filed under: uncultured bacterium
Lineage: Bacteria
Description: partial 16S ribosomal RNA
Rfam family: Bacterial small subunit ribosomal RNA
Source: RNAcentral
GACGAACGCUGGCGGCGUGCUUAACACAUGCAAGUCGAACGGAAAGGCCCUGCUUUUGUGGGGUGCUCGAGUGGCGAACGGGUGAGUAACACGUGAGUAACCUGCCCUUGACUUUGGGAUAACUUCAGGAAACUGGGGCUAAUACCGGAUAGGAGCUCCUGCUGCAUGGUGGGGGUUGGAAAGUUUCGGCGGUUGGGGAUGGACUCGCGGCUUAUCAGCUUGUUGGUGGGGUGGUGGCUUACCAAGGCUUUGACGGGUAGCCGGCCUGAGAGGGUGACCGGCCACAUUGGGACUGAGAUACGGCCCAGACUCCCACGGGAGGCAGCAGUGGGGAAUAUUGCACAAUGGGCGGAAGCCUGAUGCAGCAACGCCGCGUGCGGGAUGACGGCCUUCGGGUUGUAAACCGCUUUCGCCUGUGACGAAGCGUGAGUGACGGUAAUGGGUAAAGAAGCACCGGCUAACUACGUG